AUGAGUGUAUCUACAGAGCCGAACGCUAAGCUCUGGCUCUUCUCUUUGCUAGAAGCGUCAUCGCAUGCAUCUUUUGUUCAACUAGCGGUGACACUAUGGGCAAUUUGGUGGGCUCGUCGUCAGGCAAUCCACGAAGGAAUCUUCCAGAGCCCACACGCCACACACAGUUUUAUCGAGCGCUUUAUAGCCGAACUUCAUAGUCUGGGAGAUGGCGGGGCAUCGGUUGCAACUGGCGGCACAAGGAUUGUCCCCUGUACUCGGCCCAAGCCUCCGCCUAGAGGCUUUGCGAAGAUCCACGUGGAUGCAGGGGUUGGCCGGUUCAAUAGAGGUGGCUCGGCUGCGGCAAUAUGCAGGGAUGAUCAGGGAAACUACCUGGGUAGCUCGGCAUUGGUGAUCCCGGGGGUAGUUGAUGUGGCGACGUUAGAAGCCAUCGCCUGCCGUGAAGCUUUGUCCUUGGCAGAAGAUUUGUACGUUCAUGACUUGAUUAUCGCUUCGGACUCCAAGCAGGUGAUCAACGACAUAAACAGAGGCUAUGGAGGGAAGCAUGGGGCUAUUAUCUCGGAGAUUUGCUUUCGAGCUGCUGCUUUUAAUUGUACCUUUGUUUUUGAGAGCCGUGCAUCGAAUGGUGAUGCUCAUACUAUAGCUAGAUCUUCGCUUUCUCUUCAGCGGGGGCGCCAUAUUUGGCUUGUUCACCCCCAUGCAAACUGUAUCCCACAAACUGUGGCUUAUAAUCAAUAA
Molecule: ribosomal RNA, 738 nt
Filed under: Triticum aestivum (bread wheat)
Lineage: Eukaryota; Viridiplantae; Streptophyta; Magnoliopsida; Poales; Poaceae
Description: partial small subunit ribosomal RNA
Source: RNAcentral